AGCAGGCGUACUGUCUAAGAGAUGGCUGCUCCGCUUUUGCACCCUGCUCUAGGAGGAGGAGGUGGAUGUGGAGUAAGAGGCUGAGGAGGCGGUGACCGUGGCGGCGACAGCGCAUUUGGAUGUCUGCCCUAUCAACUUUCAAUGUUACUUUCUGCGCCUACCACGGUGAUCACGGGUAACAGGGAAUCAGGGUUCGAUUCCGGAGAGGGAGCCUGAGAAACGGCUACCACAUCCAAGGAAGGCAGCAUGCGCGCAAAUUACCCACUCCCGAUGCGGGGAGGUAGUGACGAUAAAUAACAAUACAGGACUCUUUACAGGCCCUUUAAUUGGAAUGAGUACACUUUUAAUCCUUUAACGAGGAUCUAUUGGAGGGCAAGUCUGUUGCAGAGCAACUGACCCGUGCGUGCUGCAGCUGAAACUCCACUAUUGCCUGCU
This is a non-coding RNA of Pelobates cultripes (western spadefoot toad), 435 nucleotides long. Lineage: Eukaryota; Metazoa; Chordata; Amphibia; Anura; Pelobatidae. The record is from the annotation of a GenBank genome assembly.